AUUGCACAAUGGGCGGAAGCCUGAUGCAGCAACGCCGCGUGCGGGAUGACGGCCUUCGGGUUGUAAACCGCUUUCGCCUGUGACGAAGCGUGAGUGACGGUAAUGGGUAAAGAAGCACCGGCUAACUACGU
This 131-nucleotide ribosomal RNA is filed under the name uncultured Propionibacterium sp. Its description in RNAcentral is "partial 16S ribosomal RNA". It matches the Rfam family "Bacterial small subunit ribosomal RNA", at positions 363 to 506 of the family's 1533-position model. Lineage: Bacteria; Bacillati; Actinomycetota; Actinomycetes; Propionibacteriales; Propionibacteriaceae. The record is from RNAcentral.